This 353-nucleotide transfer-messenger RNA is filed under the name Acetobacteraceae bacterium. It matches the Rfam family "Alphaproteobacteria transfer-messenger RNA". From Rfam's summary of the family: Bacterial tmRNA, also known as 10Sa RNA or SsrA, is named for its dual tRNA and mRNA-like properties. Lineage: Bacteria; Pseudomonadati; Pseudomonadota; Alphaproteobacteria; Acetobacterales; Acetobacteraceae. The record is from RNAcentral.
CCACUUCCACCAUCCGAGUCGGUCGCCUAUAUUAGCAACGCUGCUUCGGCGGCUAUGGCGAUAAACGGUGCGUGGAAUAAACGUUGUGGACCCGGGGGCAGUGCCCGGCGCCUCCACCACUCAAAGCCGAGAGGCUGGUCGGUUUCCCUCGGGAGUCCGCACCCCUCGCGGCCCAAGGGGGGCGAAACAGGCUCGACACGCGUGGUAAAGACCCAUCUUUCGCUCGGCAUGGUUCCGCCGUUAUCGGGCCGUAUGACAAGUGCCAAUGACAACCAUGAGGCACUCGCGAUCGCUGCCUAAGCAGCAGUGACACGCGCGGUUCGGGAGGCACCGGGCAACAGAAGCCUCCCACU